RNAcentral lists this long non-coding RNA (2110 nucleotides) under Olea europaea (common olive). RNAcentral describes it as "long non-coding RNA (OEUR_LNC015596)". Lineage: Eukaryota; Viridiplantae; Streptophyta; Magnoliopsida; Lamiales; Oleaceae. The record is from RNAcentral.
AAGGGAGUCAAAUUAUUUAUAUACUCCAAUCAACUUGCCCAAGGAUCAAAAAGAAAUGCUGAAUAUGCAUCUUCAAAUUAUAAGAAGUUCUUAAACAUAAUGAAGCAGGGAAAACAACCAUAUUAGCACAUCAAAGAGAUAGAAUAGGAAUCAGUUUCAUAGCCAUAAAAAGCAGACCCCUUUGAAUUCAUGAAGUAUUUCAAGGAGGACUCGAGGCUGUAGAGAAAAGAGAGUGAGUAAUAUUUGUUGUGUUAAACCACUUGAUGUAAAAACGUAACUAAUUAGAUAGGGUAACAUUCAAAUAAUAUAAAUAUUGUUUUAGACACGUUCUUCAUGUGUAGGCAACAUUCAUUUUUUCCAUCAAAGCCUAACACGUGCAGAAUUUUAUUUAUAUAAGUGGCAUCAAAACUUUAACUCAGGACCUUUGCUUGCUCUUAUACCAUGUUGAACCACUAGACCUAAAAGUUUAAACAGUUAGAGAGGACAACAUUUACACUUUGCAAUGGGUAUUGAGUACUAAAAAUAAUAAAAUGAUGCCAACAGACGAUCAAACCCUUUGUAUGCCACAGGAUACAAGUACAACUACACAUAUUUAUGCAAAAUGAGGAUACAAUAAGGCAACUUGAAAAUACACUGACUGAGUUGUCAGUAGCGUCUCUUCAAGAGAUAGCUGUGCUGCAUAGGCUUUAUCACAGUCAACAGCUGGAAGCGCAAUUAAGUCCGUGGAUCUUAGCAUAAAAUUUCCAUGAUAAGACAUAAAACGAACACCUACAGAUAGAGAUAUAUUGCUAUCAAUAUCAGCAUAUUACCCCCACAAUAUUAUUGAUUUAUUUACAAUUAAAGCAGAAGCAAUGACAUUUUGCCACUGGAACCACAGAACAAGAAUUAAAAUUCACCUUUUCCACAUCUUAUGCGCAUGACAGCCUCCCAUGCAGUCUCUCUUGUAAGAUCUCUGGUUAACUCAUGUCUCAACUUAUCUCCAUGAAUGGUAGACUGGAAACUUGGAUAAUAAUAAACCUGACCACCAGUAUAUUUUGCCAGCGUUCCUAAACAAAGCAUUACAAGAUGAUAAUUUAAAAUAACAGGAAUCAAGAAAUAGCAAGCAAAUACCCAACAUGGACCAACUAAUUAUUUUAUAUUUCAGCAACCUAGAAAAGUAGAUAAGUUCAAUAGCAGAAGUUGCAAAAGAUUUGGGAAACUAUGAACAAGCACAGGAGGCUUUCGAUAACUGUACAAGAUAGAAACUUAGAACAUGAUAAUUAUUUGGCAACAUCUUGACACGACUUCAUGUGACGUAUUUGAGGGCUCUUCUCUAUUUAUUUGACUACGUAUGGUAACUCCAAAUACGGGGGGCUAGAAUUAAAAAGUCAGAAGAUUAGAUUAACUUCCUAAAUCCUACCCAAAAUUUUCUUCGACAUUACCCUUUGUUCUGAACCAAUAAGAAAAGACGACGCUAUGGUUUUUAUUGUCUUCUCUUCCUUACUGGCAUAAAAGAAAUAGGGGCAUGUCAAGGAGCCACCAUAUAUUUACAGUAUGCAACAAUUAUACACACACACACACACACAUAUUUCAGAAAUCAUGAGCACAAGACGCCUCCUCUUAGGAUGAAUGCAUCCUUCUCUAUUUUUAGGCAUAAGUCACAAAGGAGAAAAAUGAGAGGCAUUACAAGAGUACAACAUGUAUAUGCGCGUGCAUCACCUCAUAUUGACUCUACUCUUCCUUGUCCCUUCCCCCAUUCCCUUUCAAUGUGCUCGUACGGCUAUGCUAAGCUAAAAUAGUUACUUAAAAAAUACAAUUACGCCUUGUUUCGUAUAAAUGUAGUAUUGGUUAUAUGGUUACUUUCUUGCCACUUCAUUUGAUAAGUGGUUACUUAUGAGUGCGAUUAGAAUAACGAAUGAUAGAAAAGGAUAUUAGCAUGUUUUUAUGCAAUAAAGUAAUGUCAAAUUUUAAAGACGCUAUGUUUUAAUGAGUAUAUUAGGUUUCUAAUAUACAAGACAUUCCUUCCUCUUUUGAAAAUUACAAAUACCUCCCUAUCAGAAUAAAUUUUUCCACUUUACCCUUUUCUUAAUUUUUCUUAUUUGUGCUCAACAUUUUCUAUGUUCACGUGUUG